RNAcentral lists this unclassified non-coding RNA (335 nucleotides) under uncultured fungus. Its description in RNAcentral is "partial contains 18S rRNA, ITS1, 5.8S rRNA, ITS2 and 28S rRNA". The stretch from base 252 to 335 matches the Rfam family "5.8S ribosomal RNA", at positions 1 to 96 of the family's 154-position model. The record is from RNAcentral. Lineage: Eukaryota; Fungi.
AAGGAUCAUUAUCGAAUAAACUUGAACAGGCUGUUGCUGGUCCCAGGACAAUGUGCACGCUUGUCAUCUUUAUCAUUUCUCCCAACUGUGCACAUAUUGUAGACCCUGGAGGGUUUUGGAUUUGUUCCGAGUGGGGACUGCUGUGCUUCAAAGAAAAAGAAGUCGGCUUUCCCUUGAACUUUUAUCCAGGUCUAUGUCAUUUUUCACGACCUCUCGAAUGUGUUUAGAAUGUAGAAAAGUUGAUAAAAUACAACUUUCAGCAACGGAUCUCUUGGCUCUCGCAUCGAUGAAGAACGCAGCGUAGCCAUCGAUGUGGAAGUAAAAGUCGUAACAAG